Molecule: ribosomal RNA, 682 nt
Filed under: uncultured bacterium
Lineage: Bacteria
Description: bacterial SSU rRNA
Rfam family: Bacterial small subunit ribosomal RNA
Source: RNAcentral
CUAAUACCCAAUAUGCCUAUGGGUGAAACUUUUUUGGCCUGAAGAUGAGCUCGCGUCUGAUUAGCUAGCUGGUGGGGUAAGAGCCUACCAAGGCAUCGAUCAGUAGCUGGUCUGAGAGGAUGAGCAGCCACACUGGGACUGAGACACGGCCCAGACUCCUACGGGAGGCAGCAGUGGGGAACUUUCCGCAAUGGGCGAAAGCCUGACGGAGCAAUACCGCGUGAGGGAGGAAGGUUCUUGGAUUGUAAACCUCUUUUCUCAGGGAAGAAUUUUGACGGUACCUGAGGAAUAAGCAUCGGCUAACUCCGUGCCAGCAGCCGCGGUAAUACGGGGGAUGCAAGCGUUAUCCGGAAUUAUUGGGCGUAAAGAGUCCGUAGGUGGUCAUGCAAGUCUGCUGUCAAAGCCCACAGCUUAACUGUGGAUAGGCGGUGGAAACUGCAUGACUUGAGUACGGUAGGGGUAGAGGGAAUUCCCAGUGUAGCGGUGAAAUGCGUAGAUAUUGGGAAGAACACCGGUGGCGAAAGCGCUCUACUGGACCGUAACUGACACUGAGGGACGAAAGCCAAGGUAGCGAAAGGGAUUAGAUACCCCUGUAGUCUUGGCCGUAAACGAUGGAUACUAGGCGUUGUCUGUAUCGACCCGGACAGUGCCGAAGCUAACGCAUUAAGUAUCCCGCCUGGGG